GAUGAACGCUGGCGGCGUGCCUAAUACAUGCAAGUCGAGCGAACGGACGAGAAGCUUGCUUCUCUGAUGUUAGCGGCGGACGGGUGAGUAACACGUGGAUAACCUACCUAUAAGACUGGGAUAACUUCGGGAAACCGGAGCUAAUACCGGAUAAUAUUUUGAACCGCAUGGUUCAAAAGUGAAAGACGGUCUUGCUGUCACUUAUAGAUGGAUCCGCGCUGCAUUAGCUAGUUGGUAAGGUAACGGCUUACCAAGGCAACGAUGCAUAGCCGACCUGAGAGGGUGAUCGGCCACACUGGAACUGAGACACGGUCCAGACUCCUACGGGAGGCAGCAGUAGGGAAUCUUCCGCAAUGGGCGAAAGCCUGACGGAGCAACGCCGCGUGAGUGAUGAAGGUCUUCGGAUCGUAAAACUCUGUUAUUAGGGAAGAACAUAUGUGUAAGUAACUGUGCACAUCUUGACGGUACCUAACCAGAAAGCCACGGCUAACUACGUGCCAGCAGCCGCGGUAAUACGUAGGUGGCAAGCGUUAUCCGGAAUUAUUGGGCGUAAAGCGCGCGUAGGCGGUUUUUUAAGUCUGAUGUGAAAGCCCACGGCCCAACCGUGGAGGGUCAUUGGAAACUGGAAAACUUGAGUGCAGAAGAGGAAAGUGGAAUUCCAUGUGUAGCGGUGAAAUGCGCAGAGAUAUGGAGGAACACCAGUGGCGAAGGCGACUUUCUGGUCUGUAACUGACGCUGAUGUGCGAAAGCGUGGGGAUCAAACAGGAUUAGAUACCCUGGUAGUCCACGCCGUAAACGAUGAGUGCUAAGUGUUAGGGGGUUUCCGCCCCUUAGUGCUGCAGCUAACGCAUUAAGCACUCCGCCUGGGGAGUACGACCGCAAGGUUGAAACUCAAAGGAAUUGACGGGGACCCGCACAAGCGGUGGAGCAUGUGGUUUAAUUCGAAGCAACGCGAAGAACCUUACCAAAUCUUGACAUCCUUUGACAACUCUAGAGAUAGAGCCUUCCCCUUCGGGGGACAAAGUGACAGGUGGUGCAUGGUUGUCGUCAGCUCGUGUCGUGAGAUGUUGGGUUAAGUCCCGCAACGAGCGCAACCCUUAAGCUUAGUUGCCAUCAUUAAGUUGGGCACUCUAAGUUGACUGCCGGUGACAAACCGGAGGAAGGUGGGGAUGACGUCAAAUCAUCAUGCCCCUUAUGAUUUGGGCUACACACGUGCUACAAUGGACAAUACAAAGGGCAGCGAAACCGCGAGGUCAAGCAAAUCCCAUAAAGUUGUUCUCAGUUCGGAUUGUAGUCUGCAACUCGACUACAUGAAGCUGGAAUCGCUAGUAAUCGUAGAUCAGCAUGCUACGGUGAAUACGUUCCCGGGUCU
Molecule: ribosomal RNA, 1372 nt
Filed under: uncultured bacterium
Lineage: Bacteria
Description: bacterial SSU rRNA
Rfam family: Bacterial small subunit ribosomal RNA
Source: RNAcentral